CAGUGUAAACAGCCCUUUAAACCGAUAUAAAGGGCCUCGCUGUGUGGAUGAGUGCAGCGUUAAAUCUGUUUAACGCUGCUAAAAUCGGUAUAAACGCGUAGUGUAGACCAGGC
Molecule: non-coding RNA, 113 nt
Organism: Chelonoidis abingdonii (Abingdon island giant tortoise)
Lineage: Eukaryota; Metazoa; Chordata; Testudines; Testudinidae
Source: RefSeq, a predicted model, not a curated record